UGUGAUUACAGGCACCCGCCACCAUGCUCAGGUGACUGACUCAAGGCAUUUCAGGCAUGUCUCAUCCAUCUAGAGGAACCAGAAUAGAUGCUGGUGUUUCUGGGUCAACACCAGAAGCAAUCCAGAGCAAACUGAAUUCACUGUUACACUUUGAAUGCUUUCUCCAAGAGCGAACACAGGAAGUCAACAGAGAAGAGAAAGGCAACUCCAAAAUCAGAAGAGGAGAAGACAGGCAGCUUGCAUGGCCCCAACUGGCUGGAAACCAGGAGUGAAUCUUCAGAAUGGGAGAGGACCCCUCUGGCUCUGUAGCCCAGG
Molecule: long non-coding RNA, 315 nt
Organism: Saimiri boliviensis boliviensis (Bolivian squirrel monkey)
Lineage: Eukaryota; Metazoa; Chordata; Mammalia; Primates; Cebidae
Source: RefSeq, a predicted model, not a curated record